Molecule: ribosomal RNA, 433 nt
Filed under: uncultured bacterium
Lineage: Bacteria
Description: partial 16S ribosomal RNA
Rfam family: Bacterial small subunit ribosomal RNA
Source: RNAcentral
AACGAACGCUGGCGGCAUGCCUAACACAUGCAAGUCGAACGAUGCUUUCGGGCAUAGUUGCGCACGGGUGCGUAACGCGUGGGAAUCUGCCCUUGGGUUCGGAAUAACAGUGAGAAAUUGCUGCUAAUACCGGAUGAUGUCUUCGGACCAAAGAUUUAUCGCCCAGGGAUGAGCCCGCGUAGGAUUCGCUAGUUGGUGGGGUAAUGGCCUACCAAGGCGACGAUCCUUAGCUGGUCUGAGAGGAUGAUCAGCCACACUGGGACUGAGACACGGCCCAGACUCGUACGGGAGGCAGCAGAAGGGAAUAUUGGACAAUGGGCGCAAGCCUGAUCCAGCAAUGCCGCGUGAGUGAUGAAGGCCUUAGGGUUGUAAAGCUCUUUUACCCGGGAUGAUAAUGACAGUACCGGGAGAAUAAGCUCCGGCUAACUCCGUG